GACAGAGGGUGCAAACGUUGUUCGGAAUUACUGGGCGUAAAGCGUGUGUAGGCGGCUACGUAAGUCGGAUGUGAAAGCCCCAGGCUCAACCUGGGAAGUGCACUCGAUACUGCGUAGCUUGAGUAUCGGAGAGGUUGGCGGAAUUCUCGGUGUAGAGGUGAAAUUCGUAGAUAUCGAGAGGAACACCGGUGGCGAAGGCGGCCAACUGGACGAAUACUGACGCUGAGACACGAAAGCGUGGGGAGCAAACAGG
This 253-nucleotide ribosomal RNA is filed under the name uncultured bacterium. RNAcentral's name for it is "partial 16S ribosomal RNA". It matches the Rfam family "Bacterial small subunit ribosomal RNA", at positions 524 to 776 of the family's 1533-position model. The record is from RNAcentral.